GCUCGGGAAAUGGUGUAGUUUGUUGUGACGACUGCCUAGCACGCAUUAGGUCCCGAGUUCGACUCUCGGUUCCAGUA
Molecule: transfer RNA, 77 nt
Filed under: Perkinsus olseni
Lineage: Eukaryota; Perkinsozoa; Perkinsida; Perkinsidae
Description: tRNA-Ala
Source: RNAcentral